This 245-nucleotide ribosomal RNA is filed under the name uncultured bacterium. RNAcentral describes it as "partial small subunit ribosomal RNA". It matches the Rfam family "Bacterial small subunit ribosomal RNA", at positions 26 to 285 of the family's 1533-position model. The record is from RNAcentral.
AGAAUCAACGCUGGCGGCGUGCCUAACACAUGCAAGUCGCACGAGAAAGUGGAGCAAUCCAUGAGUAAAGUGGCGCACGGGUGAGUAACACGUGAAUAAUCUACCUCCGAGUGGGGAAUAACUGAGAGAAAUCUUAGCUAAUACCGCAUAAUACCCACGGGUCAAAGCAGCAAUGCGCUUGGAGAGGAGUUCGCGGCCGAUUAGUUAGUUGGCGGGGUAAUGGCCCACCAAGACGAUGAUCGGUA